Molecule: unclassified non-coding RNA, 209 nt
Filed under: Glomeraceae sp.
Lineage: Eukaryota; Fungi; Glomeromycota; Glomeromycetes; Glomerales; Glomeraceae
Description: partial contains 5.8S ribosomal RNA and internal transcribed spacer 2
Rfam family: 5.8S ribosomal RNA (bases 1-71)
Source: RNAcentral
GUGAAUCAUCGAAUUUUUGAACGCAAAUUGCACUCUCUGGCAUUCCGGAGAGUAUGCCUGUUUGAGGGUCGGUUUAAAUAAAAAUCGGGGUGGUUCUUGUUUUUGAUGCUGCGGAAUUGGGUUAUCGUUGACUUGUUAAAGGUUUUGAGUGAUCUAAAAUUGAUACCUUUUUCUUGUCAGACGUACAUAAAAAUUUUGUUUUUUCGGUA